GACGAACGCUGGCGGCGUGCUUAACACAUGCAAGUCGAGCGGUAAGGCUCCUUCGGGAGUACACGAGCGGCGCACGGGUGCGUAACACGUGAGUAAUCUGCCCUUCACUUCGGGAUAACCACCGGAAACGGUGGCUAAUACCGAAUACGACCAGUCUUCGCAUGAGGUGCUGGUGGAAAGUCUUUUCGGUGAAGGAUGUGCUCGCGGCCUAUCAGCUUGUUGGUGGGGUAAUGGCCUACCAAGGCUUCGACGGGUAGCCGGCCUGAGAGGGUGACCGGCCACACUGGGACUGAGACACGGCCCAGACUCCUACGGGAGGCAGCAGUGGGGAGUAUUGGACAAUGGGCGAAAGCCUGAUCCAGCAACGCCGCGUGAGGGAUGACGGCCUUCGGGUUGUAAACCUCUUUCAGUACCGACGAAGCGCCCUGUCGGGUGGUGACGGUAGGUACAGAAGAAGGACCGGCCAACUACGUG
Molecule: ribosomal RNA, 474 nt
Filed under: uncultured bacterium
Lineage: Bacteria
Description: partial 16S ribosomal RNA
Rfam family: Bacterial small subunit ribosomal RNA
Source: RNAcentral